CCGGCGACCGGCGGACGGGUGCGUAACGCGUAUGUGACCUACCUUUGACAGGGGGAUAACAUCGAGAAAUUGGUACUAAUACCCCAUAACAUCACCGGAGGCAUCUUCGGUGGUUGAAAACUCAGGUGGUCAGAGAUGGACAUGCGUUGUAUUAGCUAGUUGGUGAGGUAACGGCUCACCAAGGCGACGAUACAUAGGGGGACUGAGAGGUCAACCCCCCACAUUGGUACUGAGACACGGACCAAACUCCUACGGAAGGCAGCAG
This 265-nucleotide ribosomal RNA is filed under the name uncultured bacterium. RNAcentral's name for it is "partial 16S ribosomal RNA". It matches the Rfam family "Bacterial small subunit ribosomal RNA", at positions 88 to 354 of the family's 1533-position model. The record is from RNAcentral.